Small nuclear RNA from Dermacentor silvarum, 184 nucleotides. RefSeq annotates it as U2 spliceosomal RNA. The record is from RefSeq and is a predicted model, not a curated record. NCBI's taxonomy places the organism in Eukaryota, Metazoa, Arthropoda, Arachnida, Ixodida, Ixodidae. The transcript has a single exon.
AUGGUCGACGCGGGUCAAAGUGUAGUAUCGGUUCUUAUCAGCUAUUCAUAUCGGAUACGGGUUGUAUUUGAACCCACAUAUUAAACUUAUUUUUGCAAGUUGGCGGACUCUUUGAAGCCUGCUUCCCCUCCACCGCAGGUCGGCCCGGUAUUGCACUAUCUUCGGGAUUUAUGGUCUACGGACA